UAGGUAACCUGCCUCUAAGAUCGGGAUAACCUGUCGAAAGACGAGCUAAUACCAAAUGAGACCACAGCUUCUUCGGAAGCAAGGGUCAAAGGUAGCCUCUACUUGUAAGCUAUCACUUAGAGAUGGGCCUGCGUACCAUUAGCUAGUUGGUGGGGUAACGGCCCACCAAGGCAAAGAUGGUUAGCUGGUCUGAGAGGAUGAUCAGCCACACUGGAA
RNAcentral lists this ribosomal RNA (216 nucleotides) under uncultured bacterium. Its description in RNAcentral is "partial 16S ribosomal RNA". It matches the Rfam family "Bacterial small subunit ribosomal RNA", at positions 118 to 318 of the family's 1533-position model. The record is from RNAcentral.